CUUGACACACUUUCUGAGCCAUU
This 23-nucleotide microRNA is filed under the name Monodelphis domestica (gray short-tailed opossum). RNAcentral's name for it is "mdo-miR-7334-3p". Lineage: Eukaryota; Metazoa; Chordata; Mammalia; Didelphimorphia; Didelphidae. The record is from miRBase by way of RNAcentral.